ACGGGUGAGUAACACGUGGGUAACCUGCCUGUAAGACUGGGAUAACUCCGGGAAACCGGAGCUAAUACCGGAUAGUUCCUUGAACCGCAUGGUUCAAGGAUGAAAGACGGUUUCGGCUGUCACUUACAGAUGGACCCGCGGCGCAUUAGCUAGUUGGUGAGGUAACGGCUCACCAAGGCGACGAUGCGUAGCCGACCUGAGAGGGUGAUCGGCCACACUGGGACUGAGACACGGCCCAGACUCCUACGGGAGGCAGCAGUAGGGAAUCUUCCGCAAUGGACGAAAGUCUGACGGAGCAACGCCGCGUGAGUGAUGAAGGUUUUCGGAUCGUAAAGCUCUGUUGUUAGGGAAGAACAAGUGCAAGAGUAACUGCUUGCACCUUGACGGUACCUAACCAGAAAGCCACGGCUAACUACGUGCCAGCAGCCGCGGUAAUACGUAGGUGGCAAGCGUUGUUCGGAAUUAUUGGGCGUAAAGGGCUCGCAGGCGGUUUCUUAAGUCUGAUGUGAAAGCCCCCGGCUCAACCGGGGAGGGUCAUUGGAAACUGGGAAACUUGAGUGCAGAAGAGGAGAGUGGAAUUCCA
RNAcentral lists this ribosomal RNA (583 nucleotides) under uncultured Bacillus sp. Its description in RNAcentral is "bacterial SSU rRNA". It matches the Rfam family "Bacterial small subunit ribosomal RNA", at positions 102 to 671 of the family's 1533-position model. Lineage: Bacteria; Bacillati; Bacillota; Bacilli; Caryophanales; Bacillaceae. The record is from RNAcentral.